RNAcentral lists this small RNA (501 nucleotides) under Histoplasma capsulatum. Its description in RNAcentral is "hypothetical RNA". The record is from RNAcentral. RNAcentral also lists the same sequence under 1 other name. Lineage: Eukaryota; Fungi; Ascomycota; Eurotiomycetes; Onygenales; Ajellomycetaceae.
AACGCGCAAAGGCCGAACCCAUAAAUAACUAGUGGUUAUAUGAAGGUGGAUUUGCCUGUGUUCGAACACGUGUUCCUAUGGUGUUCAGCCAAGGCCCCCAAAUAACCCAUACAUGUUCCAUACAGUGAGCUACCUUCUUUGAUCAUAUAAAAGAGGUAACUUUUCUGUAAUAUUACAUACAAUGACUGUAUCAGCCCCUCUCUGAAUGUGUAUUUAAUAAUUAUCAUCCCACUACUGUAUUCUUCUCCCCCUGCUCUUGUAUUGAUUUCUAUUCUUAACUAUUUUUGUUCUUACUUAUCUACUUUGAAACUCUUGCAUCUUUAUACAAGUGAGAAAGACUGAUAAUGAUCUCUGCUGCUGAUACUGCUGUUGAAGCAGCUGCUGUAUGAAAACAGCUACAGUAUAAUCUUAUUGUAGAGAUGACAGUACAGAGAGAGAAUACACUGAGAAUCAGCAGACAAAGCAGAUCAAAGAAUAUACAGAUAGCAUACAUAGAGAAGC